GCAUUACUAAUGAUUUUUUGACUCCUGGUUUUCCAAUCCAAAAGUAUGUUGCAUGUGGGGAUGUACACAUAUUUUCACUUCCCAACCUAUUGCCAAUCCCCUUGUUUCCUUUGCAUUUCUAUGAUGUCUCUAACAAACAGCAGAUCUGUCACAAUUUUUUCCAAAUUCCACAUUGCCUAAUAUCCUCAAAUAACUUUGUUGUAAAAAAAAAAAAAAAAACAAACCUGCACCUUCGGUCUUUCACUUGAUAUUUUACCAUAGAAUCUGAAAGCUUUAUUCUCUCCUGUUUUUUGCUUUAUUUUCCUUAGCUGAGUACAUUUCCAUUCUUUACAAUACCAUUUGAAACUACAGGCUUUGCAGUGAGCUUCUUUAUUGUGCUGACUUCAUGCUAGCAUGUACAACUCCUUUUGACUUCACUGUGGGUCUCUGCAGAGGGGCUAUUUCCUUUGGUGUAGGCACUGUAGAGGGCUAUCCCAUACAUCUUUGUACUGCUGCCACUGACACUAUAGGAAGGUCCUUACAGCAUAUGGGGAAAUGCCUGUAAAAAGCUAGCUGGAAGUCACUGUCUCAUGCCUGUGGGUAAGCUCUCAAAAUCUCAUGAUUCCUCUGUUAGCAUCCUGUAAUGCACUCUUUCUAUUGUCUUUGAAGAAUGUGAGAAGUUGCAGCAGUUAGAUCUGAUGGACUAUGCGUAGUUGUCAGAGCAGACACUCAAAAAAACACAUUAGCAAAAGGAAAUACCUUAGCUGACAUGGCUGCUUAAGGCACAGUUAUAACAGCCUCUCCUCCAGUGGCUCUGGGAAAUAGCUUAGUGGUGUGAGGGACAGACACAAGGGGUUAUCAGCAGUCAGAAAAGCAAAAGCAGAACAAAUCCAACAAAUCCAAACAACCAAUGAAGAGAUGAAACCACUGCUAAUUGUACCAGCCAUAGACAGGAAUGCCACGUUAGAAGUCUCCCAAAGUACUGCAAGGUAUUCUGUGCAUGGUCAGUGAGGAAAGAAGGUGUCUGGAUGGCACAAAGAAAUAUCAAAACACUUAUUGCACUGCCUGAAGGAAGUCACCUUAUGCUGUCCAAAUCAAAAGGAAGCUAGGUGCACUGCUUGCUGGGUGGGAUGGAAAAGAAUUGCAAAUGUAUAUUAAUGGUUGUCUGCUCUUUGCCAGCAAAACCAGGGCAAAGAGCUCAGAAGAGAAGCUUUGAUGAGACUGCCUUCUAGGAAGCACAUUCAGGUCGAUUAUGCAGGGAAGCUAUCCAUCAUCAGCUGAAGAGAUGAAUAAUGGAUUCUUUUUCAUGACAGGUAGAUGUUUUUCCUAGAAAUAAGAUGACUGCCUUUGAAGCAGACAAAACAUUACUGUAUCAUUUUAUUUGCUCCUGGGAAAUACGAGUGAUAGAUUGAGGCAAGGCAGAUAAUAUUAAAAGAAAGGCAGAUAAAGGAGUGAGCAUUAUUAGGUGUUGAUCAGAAAUUCACUAAGAAUAAAUGCAGCAAAAACAAAUUAGGCUAAGAUACUGUCCAAAUGAGGAACAAAUUCAAACAAACCACAUGUACAGAGUUGAUGUGUUUUAAUGUGGUUAAUGCUCCAAAAAAUGUACCUUUUCAACAAAUUAGGGAGUUGUACCAAAGUGAGCCUCUAAAGAGUGAAAUAAUUGCAACAAAAAGCAGAAGUACAUGUAAUAAAUGAGCUGUUUUCUGAAUUCUAAGACUUUUGUUGGACAGAGAAAACAGCAUGACCUUUGAUGCAGCCUUAGUGUGUGUAGGUGGAAGUGAGACUAGAGGAGAAAAGAAGUGUGAUGUGCUACAGCUAAACUGGACGUUGCAUCUGCUCAACAAAUUUUAGUAAAGGCAUGUGUUGUAGAAGUAGCUUAUUAUUAAUAUAUAUUAUAUAAUUUUCAUGGAUUGUUGCCUACUUCCCAUUGAACAGUGAGUGGGGGAUGACCAGAAGGAAUCACUUAGCUGAUAUACUGAGUGCCCUCAGUUGUAUAAGAGGCAGCUGGGAUUGGGUGGGUACAGUUGUGGAAAGUGGUUGCUUGAAUGAGGGUGGGGGAAAAUUGGGUUGGUGUUCUGGUUUUCUGAACUAAGUGCAGUGCUCUUGGUUAGCUGAUAAUGUUAUGUAUGUCUCUAUAGUGUUAAAUAUAGACUACAAAGUUGCUACAGAGGGGUAUCAGUGUUAGCACAACAGUGUCUUGCUUUGCAGACUAUGUGGUCUAACUGCAGUUUUUCUCUAGUGUGUUUUAUGCCUUUGUUACUGCCUAAAAUCUGACAGUCCAACAGUGGAAAUAUGCUAUUUCAUGUGCAGAGUACCAGCUGGAUGCAGGGAAUCACUGCUAAUAUAUCUAGGAAUUCUUAUGCCUUGUUAGCAUUUGUCAAUCUUAAAAAUAACAAGGGACUUUAUUGUAACUGUACAUUAUCUAACUCCAUCUCAAAUCUGCAUUUUGCUCAGUCUUCUCUUUAGAGGGAGGAAUAAAAGGGCUAAAUGUAGUACAGGAGGUACAGCUGUGAAUGAAAGUACAGAAGAGACUUGUUCAAUUUCCUGCAUGCUACAGAAAACCUUCUAUUUACUAUUUUUUCAUCUGACCAUACGUGAACUUUGUUAUCUUGUAAGCCUGGAGACACCAUUUUCAUAGGCUAGCAUAUCCACCCUUGUCAGUGAAGGAGCUGAAAGCAGGCCUUUGCUUGCCAUUACAAUCCCUUGAGUCAUACAGCUGAGUCUCUUCUGUUGUGGGCCUCUCUAGCAUCAGCUUCUUGAUAGCAGAAUGUUCUUGUGGCGUUUCUAUUCUACUUCUCUUACUGAGAAAUUCAGUCUGUGACUGAGUAAUGUUCCUAGAAUUUUAGUAUUUUGUCUUUUUUUGGUCCUCUUGUGUGAGUUUAUCAGUGUUGGGCAGCUGUUAACUGUGAGAUUCAGGGGCUGAGAGUUGCAGGACUGACCUUCAGAUGGAAGGGAUGAAUUCUUUAACAGCACCAAAGACAAAAAGCAUGUUCUCAUGUGCUGUGGGAUUCUGUCUCCAGAACCAAUGGAAGGCAAGUCCUGUUCUAACCACCUUAAAACUGUAGAUAAAAUCAGCCUAGGGACUUUCUUAGCUGGCUGCAUAAAGUCUUACAGUUAGGUUGGCUUGUAUUUAUCUUUCAAGGGGCAUUGGUUAGUGGACUGACUAAUACUGGGGUAUUACAACUGAAUAUCUCAUGCAUAAAGAGAAAAGAGGUAUAUGAGGUCAGUAAUUGCAUGAGCACUUCUAUAGGCAAUGCUAAUGUGGGGAGACACGUACUGUUUGGUCACUCCACAUCAAGGAGAUGAAAGAAUAAAACAAUCACCCCCAAAAAACCUAAACUCAAAAUCUUCAGAGCUAUCUAGCACAACAGGACUGCUCUUAUUCAAUAGGCUGAAAUUUUAUGUGUUAUGUGCCUGGAUUCUAUUUAGAAACCAGGAGAAAGCAACCGUGCCUGCAACCAUAGAGACAGAGGAAGUAUCUCAAGGAAAUGAGUAUUUCCUAUACUAUGUUCAAAGUUCAUUUUAUUAUUAGUGGUCUCUCGAAACAAGCUGCGGGUGCAUGGGAAGCUAAGUAUUUUAGAUAGCUCUGUGAUCAUCUUGUAUUCAAUCUUCAUUACCACAGCAUGCUUCUGCAGAACGCUUGUAUGGAAAAAAAAUUAAUUAUUCAACUAAAGCAACUGUUUAUCAAUGUACAAAAAGAACUGUGGCUUGGUGUUUUAACAAAAUGCUCUUCCUGAUCAAUGACAAUACUUGCCUUUACACUAAAGGUAUGUAGCCUAUGAGGGGAGAAGUUGGCAGUUGGACAGGAAGAGUUGAUGGAAUACAUAGUAGCUUGAUCAGUCAAAUAGCAAAAUGGUGAGAGACUGGGAUGCUGGUUUGCUCUUGUGCUCACUGAAAAACUUCAUCUGUUUAAGAACACAGGGUACAGCAGUGGGGUAGCUCAACUAGAAUGGGGAAAAGGAAAAUUAAAGGUAUGCUAAAAAACAUAUGGUAUGGGACUGUAACACCAAGAUGUUUGUGUACUCCUCCAGUAAAGACCAACCUGAGGUGUAGCAAUUUAUCUGGUUACAGUAUAUGCUUCCUGAGACUGAGAACAAAGUCCUGCUUCCCUACAAAAUAAUCUGUGCUGUACCUUCCAGCAGCUGGGUCUGGGCACGUUCUCAAUACAUCCUGAUGUCAAUAUAGGUAUAUUCAGCCUUUACACUUUGCUGAGAUAUGCUAUGCAGUGAUCACAUGCUUUAAACAGACUGUUGAUGAUUCAGUGUGUUGAAAUCUAUUAUUGAUAUUGCAUGGUACAGUAGAACCCUGGAUUCUGUGACUAGCAUCCAAGUCACACAGUGAUGCUUACCAGUGUGUGCUGGGGGUGGUGGGCUGUUCUGAGAGCUUGGUUACAGGAGGGGGAGUAACCAAGUUCGUUUCUAUGGAAACUCAGACAUUUUUGUAUCAAAUUGCUUCUGGCUGUCAGUUACAUCUCUGUAUAUGAGGAGGUAUCUUACGCAGAUCAUGAUAUUUUCUUCUGCAUCAGCUGUGCCCAAAAUAAACUAGAACUUGCUGGUGUCGGGUAUCCUAAUGCUGUUUAGCUUGCUGCCAUAUGGACAGGUGGUUCAAGCCUGGUGGGGGUCCAACACUUUCUUAGAAUUGUGGGAUAAUUCAGGCUGGAGAGAACCUUGGGAGGUCUCUAGUCCAGUCUCCUGCUCAAAGCAGAGAGAACUUAAAAGUCAGGUCGGGAUGCUGAUAGCUGUAUCUAGUUAAGUGCAGAAUAUUCGUCCUUUGUGAUAUUUGGAAAACUGAGUGCUUGACCAUCAGACUUGUUUUCUUUUUUAUUCUGUCUGAAUUCCAUUCCUGCAGGUUAUGGGAUUUGCCCUUUCAUCCUCACUCUGUGCAUCGAAGGGAAUGCAACAGCCAUGCCCUAAGGCUUCCCACACCUCCCUAUCUCCCAAAGGAGUAGGAAGAAUUAGGAUCUAAGCCAGCCUUCAGCUGACAGCCUGAUAUGAGACAGCAAGAUACAACACUAGAACAAAAUGCUAGUUAUGCUGACUCUCAGGGGUUGCAAAUGUGAAUAGGCAGAACCUGGCGAGGUACCAGAAUUCAACAGGGCAGAGGGCAUGCAAACAAAUAAAUCAACUAGUCAGGGAGCGUGUAGAGUGGGGAGGCAGCUGGGUGCCUGCCAAAAUAGCUGAGAAAAACAGAUGUAAUGCCACAAACAAUGCAAACUGAAAAGCAAAACUAUUGUUCAGCAUAACUGGAGUGCAAAUACUGGAAUGAUUUACCAACUAUACCAUGAUUUGCAAUAGGAAUUUGUGAGUUUGUUUGCUAUGUAAGAAUGUGAGUAUACCAUUUUGUGUAGACAGAGUUAAGUUAGUUGCAUGGCUUUUGAAGAAAAUCGAAAGACAGGAGAUAUGAAAGAAAAACAAGCUUUGUGCAGCAGUGCUUAUUUCACAAUUAUCCCUCCAUGCAGUCACAACUGUGUGAAAAAAAUAUAUAUCUUCCCAAAGUACCUUUUAACUUAGGGAAUCUUCUACAAGUAGGGGAAAUAACCCAAACAAUUACUUUAGUCUAAGGUCCUCACAAAAAGAAACAGUGGCAUCUGGUACCACGUGGCAUCUCAGUUUUAGUUCUGAGCACUCAGUGAUGGGAGUUACAAUUUUGGUAGGCCCACACACGCCAUCUUCUUUAAGUCACCAAUGCAGACAUGCAAGCACAUUCCUCCGAGCUGAAUUUCUGAGUCAUUUUCAGUUUCUAGCAUUAGUAGUAUACUUGAAGUGUGGGAGGAAACCUAAAGGUGUAGUUUGGGAAACAGCUUCUGCAAAUGAUGCUGUCUCACAAAUGUUGAUAUUCAUUCCUUUCAGAAACAAACAUUUGUUUUUUUUCCCCCCGUGCCUUUUACAAUGUAUUUCUAAGACACACUGAGACUAAAACAUCUCAUUUAACAUAGAUAUGGCAAAACUUCCAUGAAAUCUAUUCGUAUUUAGGCAUAUAAAUAUUUUAAAAGAUUUUUUUUUUCCCCACAAGCAGCAUAACCUAAAGAGCAUGAGCUGCCUAACUGGAAUAUUUUGCCUUACCCACAAACUGAUCAUCUCUUUCCUGUAGCCUGCCCAAAUUCAUGGAGCUGUGAAGUCUUCUGAUGGGUAUUUCUGGAAGGUGCCUUGUGGCCCUAAUAACUACCAAAGAGCUGCUGUUGUGUUUGGAAAAGGAACAGCUAUGUUUAGACAGCAUGUACCUGCCCAUCCUCAAACCUACAUUAAGGCUUCAGCUUUCUCCAGUCUGAGGAUGGAGUGAGGUCCUCAAUGUUUAGCUCUACGUCUACAGAGAUCUAUAAACCUUCCACAGAACCAGGCAUAGUUACUAUGCCAAAACACAGCUGAUCAGUUAGCCAAUGUACGUGCUCUGGGACUCUUGAGAGGCUUGGCGAGCUGGCAAGGCUGCUUUGUUGAACUACUUCAGUCACAUCAUGCAUUUUUAAUUGCCUAAAGUACACGGAAGAAAAAACGUUAAAGAAGUAAUUAGUUCUGUGCCAAAUACAAUUAAGUGACCGGGUGGAGAGCAGAGGGCGCUUCCAACACAUCUAAACAGGAAUUCAUUUGCGCUGC
This is a non-coding RNA of Phasianus colchicus (ring-necked pheasant), 6569 nucleotides long. The record is from RefSeq and is a predicted model, not a curated record. NCBI's taxonomy places the organism in Eukaryota, Metazoa, Chordata, Aves, Galliformes, Phasianidae.